Molecule: long non-coding RNA, 2715 nt
Organism: Stegastes partitus (bicolor damselfish)
Lineage: Eukaryota; Metazoa; Chordata; Actinopteri; Pomacentridae
Exons: 2
Source: RefSeq, a predicted model, not a curated record
GAUGAAAGGGGAGCGCACCGUGGGGUUUGGGUUGGGGAACGUAUGGACACCGCUACAGCGUCUGCACAGGGUCUAUUCCAACUGAGAGCGAAAACUGGAUUAAAUUUACUUUUGGAGCUUUGACUUUGUCUGGUCGAGCCGGAUUUAUCAAGGAAACAGUCUUGGCAUAACCAGCAGGAUCAGAUGACACAGGCGAACUCCUCGCUGGCCGCAGCAUUGUGCAACACCAGCCAGUGCUGUGUUUAUCGUCCUGGACUGUCGGGGGCGAGAGACGUCUCGUCCUGCACUGGAUUGGCGCAAAGAGAAAAAAAUGUCUUGUGCUUUGAUAAAAAUUAGGAUAAUUCAGGCCAAAAACACACAGACUAAAAAAUGUAAAAAGGUAGCGACAGCAGGGUGUGUCUCUGUCUCUCUCUCACCCAUCCCCUCUGUGAAAAAGCGUCCAGGCAAAGUGUUCCGUGGUCAGAGGAGGUGCGGGGAGGAUCGGGGUGUAAGAUGGACAGUAAGGGCGUUUGGGCUGAGAAGCACUGAGAGCGUAAAUCAGAAGUUUGAGCACGACAGGGGGGGUAAAAUGAGGAAAAACAGGGAAGCCGAUGGUGAGAGAGCGGUGUCCAAAUGUUCAGCUAAAGAAACUUCUGCUGUAAUUUCACAUACUUGACGCUAUAAAAAUAAGAGUCUGUUCAGAAAUCAGGGAAAAUGCAAAGGAAGGCUGCACAGAAGCUGAACUAGAAAUCAAUGUGACUGCAGAUUCAAAGAUUUGUUGAUAUUGUCUAAGAAAGGGAACAGAAAGAGGUGGAAAGUGGCACAAAAUUAUGCAACUGUCACGCUCAGAACAACAACAACAACAAAAAAGCAGAGCAGCCCACUUGUCGAAGCAUGUCCACAGAACAUUUUAUUCUCUCCUCUCGAGCCACGCCCCGGAACAAGCUCAGACCUCAGACGAGACACAGCACAUCGCCCUCCCUUCUUUCCCUCCAUGUUCCUUUUGUUUCCAGGAAGCAGCUGAAGGGAUAACACUUCACAUCAGACCUGUCUCACUCAUCUUCCUGUAUCUAUUUUUCCUUAGGUUCCCCCCCCUUCCGUGUCCACAGCAACACUGUUCCUCCGGUCACGGACAACGGCACGACAGCUCUAAACCAGACUAAAGCACCAAAACUGUCCAUUUUAAACAUCAAAGCACAGAAUGUGGCCUGUAAACAAAUACCAACCAAAUCGUUUGACUGCUGAUCCACCAAUCUUCUAUCAAAUUGAGUACAAAAACACAAAGUUGCAUGAAAAUUUGCUGCAGAAAGGCUCAGCCCUGCAACACUGAGAUAAAACCUGUUGCCAGUGGCAACAGUGCAGAGAUACAGUAGAUCACGAUGACACUGAUGCCACUGUGGACAUUAUAAAUAUCACCAAGUCUCUAAAACAAAAUUCCAUUUGAUUCUCAGAUGCUGUCUGACCUUAGAAGUAACAAAAACAUUGCCAAUGAUCAUCUCCAAUAUGGAAACUGACAUGUGAGUUUGGGCGAGAAUGAAGUCAAAAAUCCUCCAUCACAAGGCUAAAAUACAUGCAGUCAUCUCUUUGACUAUUUUUCUCUCUCUGUUAAAAUUCUUAAACUUCCCAAUACAGGCUUUGUGCAGAAACUAAGUUUCCCUGAGGUGGUGCAAAUGUUUGAUCAGGUUUUCCUUUAUUACACACAAAUGUGUUUUGCUGUACAUACAGUAUGUGUCUCUAAUUAAAAAGGGUUUAUUCUGAUAAGUAGAAAAGGCACCGAAACACUGAGCAGAGAUUAGUCUGUGCCUGGUACUGGUGACCCACAUCAUGCCACAUCAAGUAUGUAACUUUUAAACAGGACUGUGAUGCCAGUUUUUUGAUUUUUUAUUUAGUUCUAGACAGAACUGAGGAACUUUAAGCAACAACAUGUGAACUUUUCAACCCCAAAACUGAGCAGAAACAGCCCCUUUUCAAUUGAAACUGUUAAUCUCUGUGUGCUGAUUGUAUGUUAAACAAUGCAUGAUGGAAAAGAGGUCAAACUUUAUAUAUAUGUAUACACACACGUAUUAGGGUAAAUAGAAGCUUGGCCCGGUGUACUAAUCGAGCACUAAUGUGACUUAGCUACUGUAGCCAGGCAGCCCUUCAGCUGUGGAAGUAAGCACGCCUGGAUCCUGCACCAACACGACCCCCAGCCUGCUUGACUGUGCGACCCGAGGGCCACUGCUGAUUCAGGAUCUCUCCCCAUCCAGACUGUACGAUCACACAACAACUCAUGACUACUUGAAUCAACUCUGACCAGCAAAACAACACAAAAAAGGGUCAGAAACUCCACGAGCGAAUGAGGAGAUGGAGCAGCGACACAGUCUAGAAGAAGUUGCCCUUGAAGUGAACCUAAUCAAUGUCACGUUCAUUAGAAAAAAUGGAACGAAACUGUGUAGUAAGCAUUACUGAUGGAAAGCUGUUUGAGGUUUUAUUUCUGUCUUGUCAGGUUUGUUUGUCAUUAAAAUGCUUAAAUGAUUAAAUCUGUCUUAGCGCGGUCAGGACAAACUGAAAACAACAGUGUUUUUGUGUCCCUGUUAAUCUCUCUCUGUGUUGUAAGUCCAUUGUGGGAACUUUUCUUUCUUUGCAUGCAUGCUCUGUGUGAUGUUGUGUGUUUUGCCUCAUUUUACGUGUCACUAAAAUGCAGACGGGACCUUGAACAGAAAGGUUCACGAAUAAAAACGCUUGACUGUGUGUCUA